UAGCUAAUACCGGAUAACAAACAGAUGAUGCCUAUCAACUGUUUAAAAGAUGGUUCUGCUAUCACUCUUGGAUGGACCUGCGGUGCAUUAGCUAGUUGGUAGGGUAACGGCCUACCAAGGCGAUGAUGCAUAGCCGAGUUGAGAGACUGAUCGGCCACAUUGGGACUGAGACACGGCCCAAACUCCUACGGGAGGCAGCAGCC
RNAcentral lists this ribosomal RNA (203 nucleotides) under uncultured Lactobacillus sp. Its description in RNAcentral is "partial 16S ribosomal RNA". It matches the Rfam family "Bacterial small subunit ribosomal RNA", at positions 160 to 355 of the family's 1533-position model. Lineage: Bacteria; Bacillati; Bacillota; Bacilli; Lactobacillales; Lactobacillaceae. The record is from RNAcentral.